AUGAUGCAUGCCAUGCACGUUCAGAGGAAACAACAGUUCAGAACUUGGUCCUCACUAAAUUCUAAUACUAUGUCAAAGCAUCAUCAUUUUGAGGUUUUAUGCACAUGCCCAAGCAAUAAGCUUCAGUAUCCACUUCCAAUUCUUGGUGCAUGGUCAUGGCCAUCAGAGGAGACGGGCGCGAGUGGAGCUUUCAUCUGGAUCGAGAUCUGGGAGGAGUGGAGGAUGGAGGCAUGGGAAGAAGGGAACUCACGUCCUUUUCCUGGAAGUGAUACGGGAGGCGGGAGGUGGUGUGUGGGUUGCUACGUGAGACAUCUACCCCACCUCCACUUAAAAUUAGGGGGGGAGAGAUUAGAUGCUUUAUGA
RNAcentral lists this ribosomal RNA (363 nucleotides) under Triticum aestivum (bread wheat). RNAcentral's name for it is "partial small subunit ribosomal RNA". Lineage: Eukaryota; Viridiplantae; Streptophyta; Magnoliopsida; Poales; Poaceae. The record is from RNAcentral.